CCCGCUGAACUUAAGCAUAUCAAUAAGCGGAGGAAAAGAAACUAACAAGGAUUCCCCUAGUAACUGCGAGUGAAGCGGGAAAAGCUCAAAUUUGAAAUCUGGCAGUCUUUUUUUCUUCUUUGGCUGUCCGAGUUGUAAUCUAGAGAAGUGCUUACCUUCACUGGACCAUGUAUAAGUCUCCUGGAAUGGAGCGUCGCAGAGGGUGAGAAUCCCGUCUUUGACAUGGACUGCCAGUGUGUUGUGGUGUGCUCUCAAAGAGUCGAGUUGUUUGGGAAUGCAGCUCUAAAUGGGUGGUAAACUCCAUCUAAAGCUAAAUAUUGGCGAGAGACCGAUAGUGAACAAGUACCGUGAGGGAAAGAUGAAAAGGACUUUGGAAAGAGAGUUAAACAGUAUGUGAAAUUGUUGAAAGGGAAACGCUUGAAGUCAGUUAUGUUGGCUAGGGAUCAACCUAGCUAUUUUUGCUGGGUGAUUUUUCUAGUCUGACAGGCCAGCAUCAGUCUUGACUGCUGGAAAAGAGCAGAGGGAAUGUGGCACCUUUGGGUGUGUUAUAGCCCUAUGUCAUAUGUGGCAGUCGGGACUGAGGGAUGCAGCGUGCCGCGAGGCUGGGUUUUGACCACGUUCACGCUUAGGAUGUUGGCUUUUAAUGGCUUCAAUCGACCCGUCUUGAAACACGG
This 674-nucleotide ribosomal RNA is filed under the name uncultured fungus. Its description in RNAcentral is "eukaryotic LSU rRNA". It matches the Rfam family "Eukaryotic large subunit ribosomal RNA", at positions 24 to 664 of the family's 3401-position model. The record is from RNAcentral. Lineage: Eukaryota; Fungi.